Molecule: ribosomal RNA, 497 nt
Filed under: uncultured bacterium
Lineage: Bacteria
Description: partial 16S ribosomal RNA
Rfam family: Bacterial small subunit ribosomal RNA
Source: RNAcentral
GAUGAACGCUGGCGGCGUGCCUAAUACAUGCAAGUCGAGCGAACGGACGAGAAGCUUGCUUUUCUGAUGUUAGCGGCGGACGGGUGAGUAACACGUGGAUAACCUACCUAUAAGACUGGGAUAACUUCGGGAAACCGGAGCUAAUACCGGAUAAUAUUUUGAACCGCAUGGUUCAAAAGUGAAAGACGGUCUUGCUGUCACUUAUAGAUGGAUCCGCGCUGCAUUAGCUAGUUGGUAAGGUAACGGCUUACCAAGGCAACGAGGCAUAGCCGACCGCAGGGGGGGAUAGGCCACCCGGGAACGGGGACAGGGUCCAGAGUCCUAAGGGAGGCAGCAGUAGGGAAUCUGACGCAAUGGGCGAAAGCCUGACGGAGCAACGCCGCGUGAGUGAUGAAGGUCUUCGGAUCGUAAAACUCUGUUAUUAGGGAAGAACAGAUGUGUAAGUAACUGAGCACAGCUUGACGGUACCUAAUCAGAAAGCCACGGCUAACUACGUG